UUGGUUUCUCUGCUUUUCUCAGCUGGGA
RNAcentral lists this non-coding RNA (28 nucleotides) under Mus musculus (house mouse). The record is from RNAcentral. Lineage: Eukaryota; Metazoa; Chordata; Mammalia; Rodentia; Muridae.